GGCUCCGUAGCGUAAUGGCUAACGCAUUGCUUUCCGGUUAACAGCUGUGAUUGGCAAAGAUUGUGGGUUCGAGUCCCGUCGGGGUCG
This 87-nucleotide transfer RNA is filed under the name Morchella conica CCBAS932. It matches the Rfam family "tRNA". From Rfam's summary of the family: Transfer RNA (tRNA) molecules are approximately 80 nucleotides in length. Lineage: Eukaryota; Fungi; Ascomycota; Pezizomycetes; Pezizales; Morchellaceae. The record is from Rfam by way of RNAcentral.